Dromaius novaehollandiae (emu) is the source of this 3849-nucleotide long non-coding RNA. RefSeq lists it as uncharacterized. Lineage: Eukaryota; Metazoa; Chordata; Aves; Casuariiformes; Dromaiidae. The record is from RefSeq and is a predicted model, not a curated record. The transcript has 2 exons.
GCAACAAGUAAAGGAUCUGGAGAAGGAGAAUGGAGAAUUACAUGAUGCGAGGGCAGUAGCGCAGGAGUUGAUUAUGACCCAAACUGAAAAGAGUCAGGAAUUAACCCAGAGGGUAGAGCGAUUGGCUUUGCGGAUGGAUAAUAUGUGCUGCGGGCAUUUUGGGAAGGUGCCCACUACUGUUCUCAGAUGCAGGCGAUUAUAACUCGACCCUCCUGGGACCCAGAGGAGUGGGAUGGCAAUAUUUGGAGUACUUCCUCUGACUCGGAGGUUGAAUUUGCAUUAGAAGGAGAACUGACUACUCCCCAGGUCUGACCUCUUGUGCAAUUGAAGGGGGGAGAGACAAAUAGAUCGGGAUACUGUAGAGCAGUCAAGGAUUUAUACGCCAAAAGAAUGACAUGAGUUUUUAACUACUUUCCAGCAGCAGCCCAGGGAGUCUUUGUUAGCCUGGUUAGUGAGAGCAUGGGGUGCAGGUGCUGGAUCGCUUACUCUUGCAAGAGAGGAGCUGAAUUUAAUGAGCCCCUUAUCAACUGAUGCCCAACUACAGUAUUAUCUUACCCAAUUAACUUCUGCAUGGGAUGGGGCAGGAAAUGCUAUUGUAGCUCCAACACUAUAUCAAUGCUUGUGCGCCGCUGUGGUAGGUGCUUCCCUACCCACUAGUGAGUUAGGUGCUACAGUGAGGACUUUGGUAAGCAAUAUAAGGACUUUUGCACUUGUUGGUGAACCAGAUACUAAGCAAGUGAGAGCAGUUCAGAAUUCCAAGGUGAGAAGAUUGGCAGGGACUACCAAAUUGAGUGGAAAGCUAAUGAGGUGACAGAUGUGGACUGAUUUGCGGCAGGUGGGGGUAUCGUGGGAUGAGAUCGAUGGCUUGUCCACUGCUGAUUUAUUCAAGCGCUGGCAGCGUUUGCCUGCCAAUCAACAGAACCGAGUUAAACCCACCGCCCCACCUGCACCCAAUGCUCCCUGGAAGCUGCCUGCUAAGAAACAAUGAAGGGGAGGCGAGUCCCCCGAAAUCCGAGCGUGUGUUGCAGCGUAUCAUCCGGGGGACUGAUGCCCAUAUGUCCCCCUGCAAAUUAGGUGGCGCUUGGGAGGGGAAGUAGCUGUGCUUGCUUUAGUAGAUACAGGAGCAGAGGUUACAGUGUUGCAUAGUGCUGUAAACCCUGAGAAGGUACAAGGGCUGGACACCAGUGUGCAAUUCUUAGGGAUAGUCUGGAGGCGGCAGACAAAAGCUAUCCCUGAGAAAGUGCGCAGUACUAUUCAGCAAUACCCUGUUGCCACUGCUGUAAAACAACUACAAGCUUUUUUGGGGCCUUUUGGAGUUCUGGCGGAGCUUUAUACCCCACUUAGCAUAUUUAAUGCAGCCACUACAGCGUUUGAUCAAAACAAAAAAGUAGCCACUGGCAAUGGACUAAAGAGCAGUAGCAAGCCUUUGACCUGUGCAAGGAGGCGAUGGUCCAGCCUUGUAAGCUAUUCACUCCAUACGAGGGACAACCUUUUGACCUGGAGGUAACAGUUAUGGGGGAUACGAUGUCUUGGGGGCUGUGGCAGCAAUGUGCCCACGCAAGUUGGGGCCCUAUAGGUUUCUGGACCUGUUCCCUGCAAGGGGCCCCAGCAAAUUACACACCUGUGGAGAAACAGCUUUUGGCUGUGGUGUGGACUUUGCAGGAUACCGAACGAAUUACAGGACGUGGCCUGGUGACUGUACACACCCCCCUCCCCAUUCAGGCAUGGGUGAUGGAUGACACAGUCAGGGCCCAUGUGGGGGUGGCCCAAGCUGCAACUCAGUGGAAAUGGAAACACUGUCUACAAGCCCGGUUUAAGGAGGGGAGAAAGGACAUGAGUACCCCACAUGCAACCUUGUUAGGGGAAGUACGUUUUGAGCACAUGCCUCUAUUGUCUGUGCCAGAGGGGCUGCCCCCCCAAUAGAGCCAUUGCCUGUCUAAGAGGCCCCUCCUUUUGGGAGGUUAUCUCCUGAGCGAGUACAAGCCAAACCGACCCUAGCAAUCCCUGCUCGGAUAUCUGUAAUGGAGGUGGGGGGGGAUUGCCCCCCGCGUACUCGCCUCUGGGGAUGUAGAAUUCUACAUAUCUGAGCAACUUAUGAUUGCUGAACGAAGAGUCAUAAGCUUACAUUUAAGACUGGACUGCCCUUCACAGUGUGUAUGGCUGAUUACACCUUUGAUACCUGUUAAAAUAUCCCCACUCCUAUUGACCUCUUCUCAAGAUUGAUCUUUCCAGGUAUCCAUAUCCACGCCAGUGAAUGUCUCACAGGGAGCACCAAUACUGCAAGGAAUUCUGACCCACAGUGCCGGAGUGCCUCAAGUUCAGCAAACACCCUCAAUGCGCUCUUUAGCCAGUGUGUUAUCACGCCGGCAUCUCUAAGUUGGUGUUGGAAUGUUGCCCCUUGCUGACCACAACAGAUGCCCUUGAUCUACAAGACCAUCCAGCUUCCCAUGUAAAUACAUGGAUUUGGCUCACACCAAGAUCAGCUAACCUCUCUGCUUUCUGUAUUGCAGGAGGACGAUCAGUGGAUGAUGUCUUAACUACGUGUUACAUAGGUAUACCAGCUCCACUCGAGGUAUUGCGGAGUUAUACUUUCAAAAAAAAGAAAAUUGACACUUCUGUUACUCCCAUGAAUUUCUAUGAUUUGGGUAUUGUUUCCCAAAAGCUGACACCUUGGGCUUAUUCUUUCCAUAUAGCUAACAUAUCUAAAGCAGAUACUUGCUUUCGCUUUGUAAAUGCUGCCUCUGUUCUGCAGAAUGUAACCCAUAUGCAGUUAAUUUGUAAUGACACUAUGGAUAUUACCUAUGCAUCUGCUCACCUUAUACUACCAUUAGGAUGGUUCCUUCUGUGUGGCCCUACAGCAUAUACAUAUGUGCCGGCCAAUGCCACAGGUGGCCUAUGCACUGUAGGUCGUGUUACUUUAAGCAUUCCUGCCUUUAUGACGGAGUGGUGGAGGACCCCAUAGCAUAUCCUAAGAUGCCGUUUGUAACCCCCAUAUAAGUAUAUUUUCUCAUGCAGAAGCUCUAGGCCUGUUGUUGAGCCUAGCUGGGAUCCCGGGGGUGGUGGCACAUAAUUGCAAUCAGUUAGAGCAUGUUGCCUGUGCUUUGGCUCAAGGCUUAAAUUGGACAUCUAGUGCCAUUGCGCUAGAAAGAGUUAGGAGCAGUAUGGCAAGGAACACUGCAAAACCACCUAGGGAUUGACUGUCUCCUACUGUGAGAUAGCCACGGACAUCAUUACUUUGCCGAGAUGUGCUGUUUCAACAUCACCGAUGAAUCAGCAUCUAUCGAGAAUGAUAUCAGCCACCUACAAGGCUUUAUCCAACAUAUCCGGCAGAAUGACAGAGAUGCCUGGCUGGCUAAUUGGUUUGGCUCCCUAAUGGCAUGAUUGGGCCACCCCAUACUAGGAGAGCUCUUGUUUAUCUCUUGCUUUGUAUUAUGUUAUGUUUUGGUUUCAUAUACUUUGUAAGCUCCCUUGCCCUCUUACCCCAUGCCCUUCUGAAGACUGGGACGGCCUGCAACUAGCUUUCCACCGCGGGGGUGGAGUGUUAGGGAAAGUGCGGAAGAAUGUCGAGGAGAUAGGUGAUAGAAGCUAGCCAGACCGUUCCGUGGGAAAAGGAGCAUCAACAGGGCAUGUGGACCCAUAGUCACGUAGUUGAGCCUGUGCCAGGGUGGUGCUGCACCUGGGCUUUGAAUCAAGAAAAACAAUGAGCUUGACAUGCUUCCUUGCCCUGGACCGACGCUCAGCGGUGCCAGGGAUCCCCCACUCCAUUAUUGCCUCGAUCGGGGAAAAUGCUGGGGAAGGGAAUCCCCGUUCAGACCCAGAGGUAAUAAAUGCUCCAUGUCGACCAUCGUA